This is an RNA transcript of Beta vulgaris subsp. vulgaris (sugar beet), 10070 nucleotides long. It is a transcript of the gene named zinc finger BED domain-containing protein DAYSLEEPER, with no coding region annotated. Lineage: Eukaryota; Viridiplantae; Streptophyta; Magnoliopsida; Caryophyllales; Amaranthaceae. The transcript is spliced from 2 exons. The record is from RefSeq and is a predicted model, not a curated record.
AACAUUUAUGGAGCGAGAUGCUCAAUAUGUGUUAUGGAGCGGUAUUGUUCCUUUGAGUAGUCAUGAUCCAAAAGUUAUUGAGGUUAAGUUUUGGAAAUUCCUAAUUCGAAGUACCGAGCAGGAAGUUAUGUUCAUUUUAAGUUCAGUUUUUUGCUGAAUUAUUUUGACAAAAGUUCCAAAUGUUCAAGUUAACUCAACCCUUUUGGUAAAUUUUAAAUGAGCACACUAAGUGCCUAUACGGAUUUUACAAGCAGUAAAGAAUUGAUUAUUUCCUUAUAUUUUUACACGUAACUAAUAUGUGAAAUUGUUGACGUAAAACAAAAUAUUUCAAAAGAAGAUUCAAGUCUUGCAAUGAUUAGCAACACAAUAGUAGGUGUGAUUCUUUUUCCUCUCCAUGGAUGAAUAUGUGUUCUUUGGAAACAGUGUGGUAUUGAUAAACUGUGCAUUUAAACUAUUUAUGUAAAUAAACUAUGGAUACAAGUGGGUAAAGGCCGAUACCAAAUAAGGUACGGUAUGAACAACAACCCUUGAGGAUGGGUGAUCUCCUUCCGAACCCUCUGGGUGGGUGAAGUCCAGCAAAUAAUAAAAAUGGGACAUGUCCUGGUUAAGGCUUGCAAGCAUAAAUAUUUAAACGGUGGGGUGACGACCUCCAUUAGCAUAGAGACAGUCGGCUUCUUGUGUAAGGAGCCCCUCUCUAUUCGUGUUCGCUUUACCUAAAUAGAUUAAAUGCUAUAGACCCAAAGGGUUUUGAAUAAUCUAAGUUGUGAUCUUUAUGAUGAAAAUUCUUAUUUUGAUACGAUUGUGCAAAGAUAGUAAUCCUGAAAUUUUUAAGCAAGCACCUUACUUGUGAAGCAUACUAAAUUCUAGCAUGAAUUGUAUACGAAUGGUCUUAAGCCACCAAAAAUGAGGUUUUGGGAUGAGCUUAUGUAUUUCAACUGUUAUUGAACUUUGUCCUUAUGGCAAGGAACUUAUUAUCUGUAGUAUAUGUAUGAGUACUCUUUAUCGGACUUUCUAGUUAAGGGUUGCUAGUGUCGUGAUAAAAACAUUUCUAACUAUUUGAUUUUAAAUUUUUUUUGAAGUCUGGGAUUGUUCCACUUGGUGAGUAAUAAACAGCACAACUAUAUUUUAAGCCACUAAAAUGAAUUUCUGGUUGGACAGUGUGUGUACUCAGUUUUUCUGAUUCUGUUCUUCGAAACUGUCGUGGUGGGGGCAAGUGUCAUUGUUAGUGAUUUUGCAGGGUUGAUGUCGAGGUCUUGGAAUAUGAUUAUUGAUCAAGAAGAAGAUUUUUAUGUUAUGAAAUGGUGGGCUGAGGUUAAAGUUAGAUGCUUUGUUUCAAAGUAUUCGUAAUCUGUUAUUUGAUUUUCAAGUUGUUAUAUUGUGGGCCCCUGACCCACAGAUCCAAGAUCGUUUUUAUAGGUUUUAUUUCCGUUGUGAAUAAAUGUAAAUUCGAGGUUUGUUAAGUGUUGAUUGUAUUUUGUGUAUCUUAAGUGUGAUUAGUUAGAAGCUCGGAAGUGCGGGCUGUUAUAGGUGUGAAUAAAUGUAAAUUUGAGGUUUGUUAAGUGUUGAUUGUGUUUUGUGUAUCUUAAUUGUGAUUAGUUAGCAGCUCGGAAGUGUGGGCUGUUACAAAUACUUUGAUUAAAAAGACAUUGGUCGAAUUUGAAAUUACAUGUGUAACAGUGUAAACAAGGCCGGUUUUGGGCCUGUGCAAGCUGCCCAAUUGCACAUGGCCUCGAAAUUUUAGGGGCCCCAAAAGAAAACACUCUUCGUCUUCCCUUUCUCCCGUCAGAUAUGCUUUUUCAUUUUUCAACCUUCCAUUAAUGACCAAAUUUAACUCAAUUCUCCAGAUUCUUCUCCUCUAAUUGCAAAUUUCCAUAGAAGUUGAGAUUUUCUAUAUUCUAUUAUGGUGCAACUCUCAUUAAUUUUCUUACUUUACCAAAGUUUCCUUUUAACACUUUCAAUCUUUCCCCUUUCUCUCUCAAUCAAGCCAAGAAUUACAGUCAAUGGAAAGAUUAAAUCACAAAUUUUUUCUGUCAAACGGCUAAAUUUUAUAGCCUCUAUGUAUAUCCAUCCCAUCUCUAUAAUUUCUCAAACCAUUAUACGAAUCAGAAUUUCAGUUGGAAAAAAAAAUUCAGAUUCAUAUAUAAAUAUCAUCUGAUUCAUAUGAAGUACUCUCCAAGUCUCCAGUUUUGCAUACUCCAAUCUGCGAAAUUUCAAGACUCCAAUUGCAUCACCAGAUUAUUUGCAGAAAACCCCAGAUUUUUUUUUUGGCAAUUCAAAAUUUUUAUUGACUACCAAAAAAAUUGGUGAUGAGUACAAGCUAAACUCCACAAACUUCCACACUUAACUACACAAGACUAACCAUAUCAGUAGCUCCUAUCCUACUGAACUAAUAACCUCCUCUCUGAUUCAUUACAAUUGCAAGCAACUUGGAAAAUAACUCGAUUGAUCAAGGCUGCAGGUGAACAAGAAGCAUUCUCAAAAAUUACACUAUUUCUUUGACACCAAAUAGUGUGCAUUGCUUCGGAGAACAUCAUCACAUAGACUCUUGAUUUCAAGCUCUUACUAUGAGCUUUUGAACAGGCAAUUCUGCUUUCAACAUCAAAGGAGCCAGCAGUUCUAUUGACCCCCAUCUUCUGUAGCAGACCAUUCCACACUUCAGUAGAAAAUCUGCAUUCAAAAAAGAGAUGCUGGAUUGACUCAUUCUGUGUAUCACACAACCUACAUUGCAAUUGAACAGCUAACCACACAAUGAACUUGCUCUUUGGACUGGCUCUAUUAUUGCAUAUAAUUCUUCUCCAUUGCACUUUCUCCAUCUCCCCUUGAAUGAGCUUGUAAGCUUUUUUUAUACUGAACUUCCCAUGAAGCAACAAAUCUUCCCAGGUCCCCAACUGCACCCUCAGCUCUCUCAACUUUAAGAUUUUCUUCAGAUGCCAGGACAUGUUGUUUGUUACUCCAACAGUAGACACAUCAUGUCUUCUAAGAUAAUAGGCAGCUAUCCACUUAACCCACAGCUUGUCAGUUUUGAAAGUAAUAGCCCAAAGAAGCUUCAACAUUACAGCCUUGUUCCAGUUCUCCAUAUUGAUUAAACUCCACCCACCUGAAACUUUAGGGUUGUAAAAAUUCUGCCAAGCCACAGGUGCUUUUCUGGAAUCUAGUGUUAAUCCAGUCCACAAAAACUUCCUACAGAUUGCUUCCACUGCUUUUAUAACCUUUUUUUGCAAAGGAAAAAUAUGGGCCCAAUAAUUCUGCAUGCUACUUAGAAUGCUUCUCACCAAUUGCAAUCUACCAGCAUAACUAAGGUGCUUUGUCAUCCAAGAUUGAGCUCUGCAAGUAAUUUUCUCCACCAGCACUUUACAUUGAGAGAUUGUGAGCUUUUUGGAGUUAAGAGGAACCCCAAGGUAUUUAAAAGGUAGCCUCCCAAUAGGCAUACUAAUAGCAUGAGCAAGCAUCUGAGCAUCAUCUUCAUUCACACCAGCAACAUAUAUAUUGCUUUUCUCCACACUGGCUACUAACCCUGAGGCCUUAGAGAACUUCUCAAAAGCAUUCAUUAUUUUAACUACUGAACUUAUAUCAGCCCUUGCAAACAUCAGUAAAUCAUCUGCAAACAUAAGAUGAUUAAGAGAGAUUCUCUCACAUUUGGGGUGAUAAUUGAAGUCAGGAUCAUCCUUAAGCUCUUUCAAACACCUACUGAGGUAUUCCAUACUGAGUGCAAAAAGAAAAGGAGACAAAGGGUCUCCUUGUCUUAGACCCUUUUUAGCAUCAAAAGGAAUAGUAGGAAUACCAUUUAUGGCAAUGGAAUAAGAUACUGUUCUGACACAACCCAUUAUCCAUCCCACAAACACUGUAGGAAAGCCCAGCUCAAUCAACAUUUUCUCUAAAAAAGGCCAUUCCACAGAGUCAUAAGCCUUUUUUAUAUCCACCUUGAUGACACACCUUGGUGAAAUAUGCUUUCUAGAAUACCCUUUUAGCAGUUCAGUGGCUAAAAGAAUGUUGUCAGCAAUAUGUCUCUCUGGUAUAAAACCAGAUUGAGCUUCAUUCACCACCUCCUGCAUCACAGCUUGCAUCCUAUGAGUGAUAAUCUUUUAGAUUAUUUUAUAGAGGGUGGGCAACAGGCUAUUGGCCUGAAAUCCUUAGCAUACAUAGCUGAGGUUACUUUAGGGACCAGUGUAAUAACAGUGUUAUUAACUGGUUUGUGAAGAUAAGCUUGAUCAAAGACUCCAGAACACCUCUGUAAACAUCAUGCUUGAUUAUGUGCCAUCUUUUUUUAAAGAACAACCCAUUAAACCCAUCAAUUCCUGGGGUCUUGUUGUCAUCAAUCUGAUACAAGGCUCUAUCAAUUUCCUCUGUAGUGACUGGUUUUAUAAGAGUUGCCCUGGUUUCUAAAGAUAACACUGGGCCAGCUCUAAUAGUGUUUAAAUCUAGACCAGUCAAGGAUGUAGCACAAUCACCCAGCAACUUCUUAUAGAAGCUGAUAAUUUCUUCUUGAAUUACCCCAGUGGAAGUGAGGCAAUCUCCCUGACAGUUUUUAAGCAUUCCAAUUCUAUUCCUUGCUUGUCUUACUUUAACUGCAGUGAAGAAAAUUUUUGUAUUUGCAUCCCCCUUUGCAAGCCAGUUUAUUCUUGACUUUUGUCUGAUGAUACUUUCCUCCACUCUUGACUAGUGUCUAAGAGAAUUGACCAACUCCCUUUCUUCAUUCGGUAACUGAGUGUCUGUAUGAAUUGCCAUGUUGUUCUGAAUAUUUUGAAGAUUAACUCUAAUACUCUCCACUUUAUUAGUCUACAACCCCUUCAAAGCUCUCUUCACAGCUUGAAGUCUUUUCCACACUCUCUUCAUAUGAUACCUAUCAUCCACUGAUCUCCAAGCUUAUGUCACUACCUCAUUAAAUUUUGCAUCUUCAGCCAGAAUAUUGAGGAAUUUAAAAGGUCUACCCCUCUCCCUAACUGUAUUUUGAAACGUUACCACCAAAGGAGUAUGGUCAGACACACCACUUGGAAGAUACUUCACCAUAAGCUCAGGAAAAGCUUCUAGCAUACUGCUAUUUAUCACAGCUUUAUCAAUCCUACUACAGAUUCUUGCACUUCCCAGAUUUUUGUUGUUCCAAGAGUAGAAAACUCCACAAUAAGCAGCUUCAAUCAUGUGGGAGGCUAGCAUGAACUCAGCAAAGUCCUGAGUUUCUUGUUCACUUACCUCCACCCCAUUUAUUCUAUCCUGAGCACUCCAAACAACAUUAAAGUCUCCAAUGCAAAGCAUAGGAUCAUUUAUAGUACUAGCCAAUCUUUUAAGGUCUACCCAAAGAGGUUUCCUAUCAGCAAUGGUGUGAAGUCCAUACACUACAACCAAUGUGUAGUUGCUAGUAUAAUUAUGAACUUUAAGAGCCAUGCAUUGUUCAGCUUUAUAUAUGACAUCCACUGUAAUGUCUCCUGUUUCCACCCAAACCAAAUCCUCCCUCUGCGAGGAACCAUAGUUAUCAAUCCAACUCCAGCUAUCCCCAAAUUUCUUUUGAAUCUUACUACAAUUACUAGCUCUAACUCUAGUCUCAAACAAAGCACAACAAGUAGCAUGAUUAAGAUGAAGAGUCUGCUUUACCUCCUUUAUUUUGAGGGGAUCAUUGAGGCCCCUCACAUUCCAAGACAUCAACUCCAUUCAGGAUAGAUAGGGGUUUGGUCCCCUAGCACCCCCAGCUUUUGCUGAGUCCAGUUGAGAGAAGUUAACAGUUCCAUUUUUAUGAAGGUAACAUGUUUACCCUUGGACUUCCUGGUUACAAUUUUCCAUGGUUCUUCUUCUUCAGUCAUUUUGGCACAUGUUCAGGAGUAACUGCAGGAGUAUUCACCAUAUCAGUCUCUACAACUAUAGCAGGACCCCCACCUAAGCAGGCCUCAACUACCAUAGAAGGAGCCACAAUAUGUGAGAUGUCUCCAUUAGUCUCCUCUAAUUCAUCAACAGUUAUCUGAGCUUCUUCAGUGAUCUGUUCCUUUGAAAUUACAGUUUCUAUCUUCUUUUUGGGAACCCAUUUCUUCACCCACUUUGCUGGAGCUUUAGUAUUGGCCUCACAGUUGUGACCAAUUACUUGACAUUUUUUACAAAACUCAGGCAACCAAUCAUAGACCACUUUUUGUUUAAAUACAGCUCCAGUAGGAUCUUCUAUUGCUAUCUCAUAUAAGAUUUCUUUAGUGACAUCUAUUUCCACUAGUAUUCGAGCAAAAGAAAUUCUUAAGGUCUUUGUUGUACAUUCAUCUGCAUACACUGGGACCCCUAGUAAGCUUCCAAUUCGACUCAAUGAAUUCUCACUCCAACAGUUCAAUGGAAGAUUAGGUAAUCUAUCCAAAUAGGCACAACUUUUAGAAUCUCAUUAUGGAAAUCAAACGUAGCUGUCCAUUUCUUCACAAUCAUUGGUUUACCAAAAAACAAGUGUGGCCCAGCAUACACAACAGAAUUCCUUUCUUCCUUCGAUUUCAUUUUCACCACAAAAUAUCCUUCAUCAUGUUUAUAUACUCCAGGUUCAGUUUUAAGCCCCCAUUGAACUUUAUUAAAACCUAACAUGGCAGUCAUGGUUGGAUUUUGCCCAACAACAUACACAAUGAUGGCAUUUUCCCAAGUAGUAUUCAUUCUAUCAAUUUCAUUUUUAUCUAACUUAGCAGUAGGAUUACCUUCCACUAUAGUAGGCACAACAAACAUAAGACCCAUACCUUUAUCAGAGAUUCUAUUUUGUCCCGUGAAAGUCUGCCAUUUUUGAGUUGCCUCCUCCACAUGCUCCGAGCUAGAUCGAAUCAACCCACUACUUAUCGGGUGUGGAGUAACAGUUACUGUUCCAUCAGAUAUCUCUGUAUUUACCUCCUCUCUGACUAUACUAGCACUACCACUAGCCUCCUGAGAAGAUCCCGACGCCAUAACGGUGGUUUCCGGCCCCGCCGUCUUUUUCUUCCGCCCCAUUUCGCCUUUUCAGGCGCACAAUAGCUAAACCCUUAUCGUGCGCUAGGAGAGGGUUUUAGGAGAGAAAAAUUCCUGAUGGUAAUUGAUUAUUAAAAAAAAAACCCCAGAUUUUUGUUUGAAACUGUUCCAUAAUUUAGAGGUAGACUUCACUCUUUCGCAUGUAGUUUUCUGUUCUUGUUGUUCGUUAAUGUGUAUUUUUUUUCCAGCUUGAUUAAGCAUGGUAUAAUUUCUUUUAUGAUUAGUUGAGCAAGUUUCUGAAUGGGUGGCCAAUUUGUAUUAUAAAUGCAUUUAGUUUUUCCAUAGUUAUCAAAUUUUUAAAGAUAAUUAUUUUUAGGAAGUGUUGAUGGAUGAGUAGUGAAACUGUUAGAUAUUUUGACUUUUGUUUGUUGUUUUUUUGUUUGCCAAAUAUAAAUGGGAAUGGGAAUAUGAAAUUAGAAUGCUCCUGUUAACUUACACACAUAGUUUUGCAAUAACAAUUCAUUUUUCUAUGCAAUCAUAAUAAAAAAAAAUUGAUUAUUGCACAUUUUUUGUAUUAGGCCUCAUUUUAAAGACUGAACAGGGCCCCAAAAAUGUUUAAGACGGCCCUGAGUGUAAACAUAGAGAAAGAUAGGAUGUAAUGCUCGAAUUUGAUGGUUUAUUUGUGCAAUUUCAACUGUUGUGAGGAAUUUGUCUUGAAUUAGAAGAUCUUUACAAUUACUUAGACUCAUUGUCUUAGGUUGUUUGGGAGAUGACAUCUUUUGUGAAAAUGUAGCUUGUAUGUUGAAUUUUGUUCAAGUUUACAUGCUGAUUUUUUUUUUUUGUUUUCCAUAGUAGUGUUGUUUGUAAAUUGUAAUUAUGGAUGAACAAUUGUCGUUUAAAGAGAGUGAUGCUGGUUCUAGUCACCCUAAUGAAGAACCAUUUGUUGUGUUGGGUGAUUCUGAUAAAGAGGAUGAUGUGGAAGGAUUUGUUGAGGUUGGGGUUGAUAUUAGCAAAGAAGAAUUAUCUGGUGGUGGUAAGAAAUGUAAGAAAUUGACUUCUACAUUUUGGGAAACUUUUGAUGUGGUUAUAGUCAAUGUUGUUAAAAAGGCAAAGUGUAUGGAUUGUAAUAGCUUACUCUCAUACUCGGGAGCUAAUGGAACUUCACACCUCAACAAACAUGCUAGAAAACAUUGUUCGGGAAGGCAUUUGAGGCUUGGUAGUGGUCAAUCACAAUUAAAGUUCAAGAAAGAAGAUGACGGGAACACUUCUUUGUCACUUAAGGAAAAAACAAAGAAAGUAUCAUUUGAUCAAGAUGUUUCAAGGCGAGAGUUGGUUAAGAUGGUAGUAGUACAUGAGUAUCAUUUGUCAAUUGUAGAUCACAUUGGUUUUGGGAGUUUUAUCAAGAGUUUGAAUGAUGAUUUUAAGAUGAUUUCAAGGAAUACAUUGAAAUGUGAUGUGGUGAAGAUGUUCAACAAUGAGAGAGGUUCUCUUAAGGUUUUGCUAGUUGCUAAUGAGGGUAGAGUGACGAUAACAACUGAUAUGUGGAUCGCCUCCAACCAAAAAAAGGGGUAUAUGGUCGUGACAUCCCACUUCAUUGAUGAUAAGUGGAUUUUGCAUAAUCGAACAAUAAGGUAAUUUCGCUUAUUUCAUUUAUAAUUCUAACAUGUUUUUGUUAUUUACUUAUGUUCUAACUUGUGGUUAUUUGCCUAUUUGCGUUUAUAAUGGUUAACAUGUUGGUAUUUUGGUCUUUUUUAUGUUCUAAAUCUUGCUUUUAUCAUGGUUAAAUAGGUUUUGUUAUGUUCCAAGUCCGCAUACAAAUGGGGUCAUUGCUAAGAUUCUUAUGGUUAAAUAUGUUUUGUCAUGUUUCAAGUCCGCAUAUAAGUGGGGUCAUUGCUAAGAUUCUUAUGGAAACUUUGCCUCAAUAUUCUUUGAAAAAUAAAAUUUCUUCUGUGGUUGUUGAUAAUUGUAGCAUAAAUGAUUCAAUGAUAAAUGUGUUGUUGGAUAAAUUGGAGAGUAAAUGUUUGGUGUUAAAUGGAGAAUUUUUGCAUAUGAGAUGUAGUGCUCAUAUGCUUAAAUUGAUUGUGAAAGAUGGUUUACAAGUAAUUGAUCAUGCUAUUGCCAAAGUAAGAGAGUGCAUUGCGUUUUGGAUGUCCACUCCUAAAAGAAUUGAAAAUUUUGAGGAUGCAUGUCGUCUUUUGAAUGUGAGUAAAACAAAAAGGAUUGGUCUUGAUGUGAAAACUAGGUAGAAUUCUACUUUCUUGAUGCUUGAAUCUAGUUUGCCUUUCAAAGAUGUUUUUAAUAAAUUAAAACGUCUAAUAAAAGGCUUAAGUUUUCCGUUCCUAGUGAUCGUGAUUGGAAUAUGGCUACUAUUGUUUGUCAAAAGUUAGAAAUAUUCUACAAAGCCACUAAAGUUUUCUCCAAUAGAAAUCAUGUUACUGCAAAUUUGUUUUUUCGAACAAUUUGUGAGAUAAAGCUUGCUUUGAGGCGGUGGGUGCAAGAUGAUAGUAAUGAGGUCAUUAAGACAAUGGCUAUGAGUAUGGUUGAUAAGUUUGACAAAUAUUGGUAUGAGAUUAAUGGGAUUUUGGCUUUUGCGACUAUUCUAAAUCCUAGAAACAAAAUGGAUUGUGUGGCGCAUUAUUUUGAGAAAUUAUAAGGAGAUGAAGCCAAUAGUGAAAUGGCAAGAGUGAGAAGGACCCUUGAUAAACUUGUUCAUGAGUUUGAAAGUAAGAAUGAUGUAGGGAAUGAACAAUCAUCACCAUUAAAGAGAGGGUUUAAUGAGUGUGGGGAUGAAGAUGAUUUUGCUAGAUCUAAGAGACAAAAGGCUAGAACACCACCAUUAAGGGAUGAGGUUAAUAACUACUUGGAGAGUGCUACAAUGCCGGAGCGAGGAUAAUGAAUUUAAUGUUCUUAAUUGGUGGAGGAGAGACACAAAUUAUCCAACUUUGAGAAAAAUUGCUAAGGACAUUCUUGCUAUUCCCGUGUCUUUGGUUGCUUUGGAGAGUGCUUUUAGCAUGGGUGGAAGAGUGAUUAGUACUCAUCGUUCUAGGCUUCAUUCUCAAACCGUGAAGGCUUUGAUGUGCUUGCAAAGUUGGUUGAUUGAUGAUGUGAAAGGUACACUUGAUGGAAAGAAUUUGUCAUACACAAUUAAUGAAGAUUGUGAUUAUGGUAAUGAAGCUCAAGAU